UACAGAGGUCUCAAGCGUUGUCCGGAGUUACUGGGCGUAAAGAGUGCGUAGGCGGUUUUCUAAGUUUGGUGUGAAAUCUCCCGGCUUAACUGGGAGGGUGCGCCGAAAACUGGAAGGCUUGAGUAUGGGAGAGGUAAGCGGAAUUCCUGGUGUAGCGGUGAAAUGCGUAGAUAUCAGGAGGAACACCUGCGGUGUAGACGGCUUACUGGACCAUAACUGACGCUGAGGCACGAAAGCGUGGGUAGCAAACAGG
RNAcentral lists this ribosomal RNA (253 nucleotides) under uncultured bacterium. RNAcentral describes it as "partial 16S ribosomal RNA". It matches the Rfam family "Bacterial small subunit ribosomal RNA", at positions 524 to 776 of the family's 1533-position model. The record is from RNAcentral.